GAAAAAUUAUCUAGCGAAUAACGAUUGUGUUCUAAGAGCAUUGAGGACCCAGUAAAAAAUCAAAAUGAUAAAGUCAUACCAAAUAGGACUACGAUAAUCUGUGUCUAGAACUAGAAAAUUCUUUGUAUUUUGCCUAAUUCAAAGUUUUUUAAACAGUGUUUAUAAAAAAAAUAUCAUUGAUAUUUCAUGCCAAUAAAGAAAUAUAAGCCAACAUUGUGCCAACAAUAUGCCAACGUAUUAGGUACUUAUCUCCCCCCUUUAUAC
RNAcentral lists this long non-coding RNA (264 nucleotides) under Mytilus galloprovincialis (Mediterranean mussel). The record is from RNAcentral. Lineage: Eukaryota; Metazoa; Mollusca; Bivalvia; Mytilida; Mytilidae.